Nicotiana attenuata is the source of this 92-nucleotide non-coding RNA. The record is from Rfam. NCBI's taxonomy places the organism in Eukaryota, Viridiplantae, Streptophyta, Magnoliopsida, Solanales, Solanaceae.
UUGGUUUCUUGGCCUUUUGGUUAAAAUCAAGUGUAGUAUCUGUUCUUUCACAAUUAUAAUUAUUAAGUACUAAUAUAAAGAGAAAAAUUCUC